RNAcentral lists this ribosomal RNA (630 nucleotides) under Triticum aestivum (bread wheat). Its description in RNAcentral is "partial small subunit ribosomal RNA". The record is from RNAcentral. Lineage: Eukaryota; Viridiplantae; Streptophyta; Magnoliopsida; Poales; Poaceae.
AUGGCAGCUCCGAGAGCGCUCGUCCUCGGCCUCCUGCUGGUGAUCGCCGUCGCCAACGCUGAGGCGGCGUCCGUCGUCGUCGGUCUGGCCAAGUGCGCCGACUGCACCAGGAAGAACAUCAAGGCCGAGGAAGCUUUCAAAGGUCUCCAGGUGGCGAUCAAGUGUAAGAAUCUCCACGGCGACUAUGAGAGCAAGGCGGUGGGCGGCCUCGACGGCACCGGAGCCUUCAGCGUUCCCCUGGCCGCCGACCUCCACGGCGCCGACUGCGUCGCGCAGCUCCACAGCACCGCCUCCAACGCACCGUGUUCCAGCCAGGAGCCAUCUAAGAUCGUGCCGGUGUCUGAGGGCACCACCACCUUUGGUGUGGUCGCCGGCGCCAAGACGGACGCGGCGGCAUUGCCAGAGUGCGUGUCGGCGACCCUAUGCGGGCCGAUCAAGAAGCACAUCAUCGAGCACUUCCACCACAAGAAGCUUGUGCCGCCGAAGCCGGAGCCCAAGCCCCAGCCCCACCCUGACUACCACCCCGUGCCCAAGCCGGAGCCCAAGCCGCAGCCCCACCCCGACUACCACCCCGUCCCUCCCACGCCCACCUAUGGCGGCGGCGGUGGUGGAUACCACGGACACCGCUGA